Impatiens glandulifera is the source of this 516-nucleotide long non-coding RNA. RefSeq lists it as uncharacterized. The record is from RefSeq and is a predicted model, not a curated record. The transcript has 3 exons. Lineage: Eukaryota; Viridiplantae; Streptophyta; Magnoliopsida; Ericales; Balsaminaceae.
AGAUCUCAAUAAACUAAGGUAUUUAACAGUCUCCUCUUCUUUCCUCCUUGCUUCACUGUUCGUUCGUUUUCCCAAAAUUGGAGAAGAAGAUUUAAUGGCGCUUCCUCCUGGACCUUACUCCGGAAAGAGUACCUUUGCUUUGGUAGCUCGCGCUUCCGCCUUCUCUUUUGGUCUCGUUUAUGGAAGUAUCAAGCUCAAGUUCGUGAAGGCUAAGGCCAAGUCACAAAAGAAAGCUGAGGCAAAGGCAAAGGCACAUCACUGAAAGAAAAGAUGUCUGAAUUAUAAUAAUGCACUAAGGCAACACCUCUAGAGGGUGUUGUAAGAGAUAAGUGACCAAUUCAUUAAUUCUUUUAAAAAACAUUAUUUUAUAGAUUUGUGUUACUAACUCCAGAUGUUAGGAGAGCACUUUAUUUUCCUUUUAAAAUUUUUGGAAUUCAUUGAAUAGUUGUUUAAGUGAUCUCAUUUAGUUCUUGCAAUAAAAAACUCAUUGAGUAGACUUUGUUUUUUUUCCUGAUC